UCAAUUUUCUUCCUUUUUCCUCAUUACCUACACUAACGCAGAUGAUAGAGAGAGAAACUGAAGCGUCCAAAGGAAACCAGCGGCUUCUCCGACGGUGGCGAUAGCGGCGAGGUCUGAACUCAGACGGUCAAGCGUCUAAAGGAAACCAACGGCUUCUCCGACGGUGGCGAUAGCGGCGAGGCCUGAACUCCGACGGUGGCGACAGCGACGAGGAGAAUUGCUACCAACGGCAGCAACGUAGGUGGAAAAAAAAAGAAGAAAAUCCGUGGCGCAAUCGUCUGGUUUAUCGAAGAAGUACCAAAGAGAUAGAAGAAGCCUACCUCCUAAUUUGUAUAACAGGUGAUUGAUGCCCUAUUAAGUUUAUUUUUAUGUUUUUUGUUUGAUAUUAUUUACCUAGAAGUUAAUAGAAUGUUUUUAGUUGAAGAAUAUCGCAGCCGUCCAUGUAUAGUGACAUGGUUUAGGGAUAUGGAUAUCUAAAUUCUAAUGAACCUCUGUUAAUAAGGAUGGUUUGGUUGAGAACUAUAGGGGGCGGAGGAGAUGAUGUUAAUCCGAACAUCACAGUGUUUAAUGGAGCCUAUUUUUGUACAAAUUUUUAGGCCUUUGAUUUGUCAACUUUUGAAAGAUAAAAUUUAGCCACAGUCU
Helianthus annuus (common sunflower) is the source of this 642-nucleotide long non-coding RNA. RefSeq lists it as uncharacterized. Lineage: Eukaryota; Viridiplantae; Streptophyta; Magnoliopsida; Asterales; Asteraceae. The transcript is spliced from 3 exons. The record is from RefSeq and is a predicted model, not a curated record.